UUUUAAUUUUAAAUUAAUGUAGAAUAUAUUUUGAUGAAAUUUUAAAUUUAAAAACAAUACUUUUGUUAUUAACUUAUUAGAAUGAAAUUAUACUUAUUUUAUUAAUAUACUUUUACAACCGUGGACGUGGAAACUUCUCGAGGCUUUAAUCGGGUAUUUAAGUAGCAGCGGUCAAAUUUGACCUCCCGAGAUUGCGAAUUUCCCAAUAGAUUUGGUGUGAUCGAAUAUUAGGGUUAGGGUUUGGUGCGAGUGAGAAGAUGAUCGAGGUGGUAUUGAACGAUCGGUUGGGAAAGAAGGUGAGGGUGAAGUGCAACGACGACGACACCAUCGGUGACCUCAAGAAGCUGGUGGCUGCUCAGACCGGCACCAGAUCCGACAAGAUCAGGAUUCAGAAGUGGUACACCAUUUACAAGGACCACAUCACCCUCAAGGACUACGAGAUCCACGACGGCAUGGGCCUCGAGCUCUACUACAACUAGACCUCCUCCGUCAAUAAAAAUGCAUUGGGGAGCUAGGGGUCUCUCUUUCUGCCUACGGAAUAUGUGUGUAUUAGAUCUCUUAAGAAACAAUGGAGCUUAGAAACUAUUCUUGUGCUCUCCAAUUUAUCUGUUAAUGGAUAAGCAUGUCUAUACUCUUUAAACAUACUGCUUACCUGAUAACACAUAUAUGUCUGUUACUGCUUAUUAGUUCCUGUUUGAUGCAUGUUCAUUACUGCUAA
RNA transcript from Vitis vinifera (wine grape), 718 nucleotides. RefSeq lists it as uncharacterized. The transcript is spliced from 2 exons. The record is from RefSeq and is a predicted model, not a curated record. Lineage: Eukaryota; Viridiplantae; Streptophyta; Magnoliopsida; Vitales; Vitaceae.